Molecule: long non-coding RNA, 2715 nt
Filed under: Daphnia magna
Lineage: Eukaryota; Metazoa; Arthropoda; Branchiopoda; Diplostraca; Daphniidae
Description: uncharacterized LOC123473679
Source: RNAcentral
CAUCGAAACAAUUGACACGCGAAACCGCGAUGCGAAUUGCCUCUAUUAAGUUUUUUUCAAUGUUCCAAAGCUUGCUGCGAUGCCUAUCAGAACAGAUUUUCGCCAAGCUAAUUUCCACAAAUUUUGAAAGAUUUUAGAUCUCCAUUUUCAGUUUUCACUGCUAUCCCUGCUAUCCGGGCACCCCUAAAAGGCGAAAGCGAAACGCGAAACGAACAGCGACUAAAACGCGGAAGGCGGAACGCUGUGCGAAACAACCCCCAUGCAAUGGGCUGCGAAUCACUCAAAUAUCGCCUAAAGGCAACCUAAAUAGCGAAACGAUUUUGCGAAACCCUUAUUUGAAAUGCCAUUGAAUUUGGCAUUUCAUUUAGAGAAAUAAGAACCGUGUGCUAUUCUUUUUUGAGAACAUGUAAGAAGUUCCCCAAACAACUGUUGUUUAAUAAAAAAGAUUGCCUACUAGAUAUGUGAUAAAAUGUGUGUCUGUGUCAUAAAAAAUUUGAAAAAAGAAGGUAGGGAUGAUAAAAAAUUACGUAUUUGGCUUUGCAUAUUUAUGUCACUAAUAACUUAAUACAUUUUAUUUUCUGUUAUCUGGUUCAAGAAAUGUUUGCGUGUUGUAGAGGAAAAUUUUUUUUUGCUCUCGCUUCCGGUUAUAGGCUUAUACUUUGCUGAGCUUUUUCAUUAUCGACGAGGCUUAGUUAUCUUGCUGCGAUAGCAGUGCUGACCAUCGACAGUUGUAUCAUGUGCCAUAUUCAUUCAUGGUAGGUCUACGCCUAUCUUUACAUGAUUUAAACUGCAUUUCGACGUUGAUAAAUAAUUCCAUGAUUGCCAUGUAAACGCUUUGUUUAGCGGUUGUAUCGAGUAAGCCUGUAUAUCGUUUGCUGGAACCCACAAAAAAGUGACUUCCAGAUAGGCAAAUGACUGACAUUAGUACAAUACAUUCUAGUCUACCUAGAUAUAAAAAGGGAGACUAAAAUUUGCUGUGCAUUUUAUUUUGUUUCUUAUACCAAGCGCGUCGUAAAGGACGAGCGUUAAAUUUGAGAGUCCGCAAGUUCUUGGGAUCUUUUGUUCGCUUGCUCAUAUAGACGUUAUCAACGGUUUUUCAUGUCCGGUUCAACAUUUUGACAAGAAGAAUAGCUUGGAACUGUAAAGGGGAUUUUUUUCUUUCUAUUUCCAGUUCCCUUUUUCAGCACAACUUAACUUUCCGUUUUUUUUUUUUUUCAUUUUUCGUAUUCUAUAUGAACACGGUUAAACCUCAGGCUCAUCUCUGUGAGUCUUUUUGCUUAAGAGAAGGGAAAAGGACAGCUUAAGUAAUCGUUUGCCACUUCCGGCAUGUUGAAAUCGGAUAUCUCAUUUGAUUUCGUUAUCACCAGAGUGGCUGCGCAAAUAGCAGUACGAAGUGCGCAUAGGGAUCUUUCUCGACCGGAGAGACCUUUACCAGAUUCAACGGUCAUGACCUCAAAGAGAGGGAGAGAAUGUUGUUAUCUGGGUAGAUCUGGUUUCUCAUUUUCAAGAGAUCGUUUAUAUAGGGCGUCUUUUGUGAAGAGGCCUUUUAGCCGCGCAGCUCAAUUGAGCAUCAGGUUGCUGCUGCCGUGAGAGUGAAAAGGCGUGUACUCGACGAACGAAAUGAAAAGGACGAGCUUCUAUUUCCCUCUUGCUCCUCUAGGGCUAACAUUUUUUUUCUUCUUCUGUUGGGUGGGUUGAGAAUUCACUGCUGCUAAAGACACUUUGAAACAUUUCGUAUCAUCUGCGUUUUUUAUUUUACCCAUGGUUAGUCGUUCGCGAUUAUGUUUAACAUCGGCAACCAUGCUCAUUUGUUGUUGUUUUAUUCUUAUAUUAUAGCUUAAUAGUUUACUUGAUGUAUAUUUAAGAUAUCAAACAUCUUUAGUAAUUCAAAGGGACUGCAAUAAUGGGGGAGGUAUGUUUUGGAUAUAGAAACAUCUAGAGAUCAGGUAACGCCCUUUUAUUUAAUGGGGAAAAAAAGAUAAGGUGUAUACGGUUAUAUUCCUUAAGACGGUUUCAGCUGACUUGAUGGUGGAGCUGAAGUUUUGAGCGUAAAGUAGGAAAUGAAAAUGGAUGCAAGCAUUUCAGACGCUAUGAUCGCUCUCUUCCGCUUUUUGGCGAACGUUGUCCAGAAGGUCGGGGUUCGCCCCAAAGACCGAGGAGGAUUGCAAUCUUAUCGUAAAUUAAAUAGGGUAAUAAUGCAAAUCAAAUUAUUUAUGCGAUUGUAUAUUUCCGCUUUUUAUAUACAUUGCCUAGAACAACUACACAUCACGAGGAAUGAGCCAGGGAAUGACUUUGUCUUUUGUGAAAAGAAGAAAUAAAAAUAACAUUGGGGCAGUAAUAAAUACAACUUUGUUAUUUGAUAAGUACGAGAAGGAUGACACGUGACUAUUUUCAUAGUAAUAUUGGAAAUAGACGGAAUGUCACACGAUUGGAUGAAAAUAGAGAAUGAAAUGUGAUCAUCAUACGGACUAACUCCCCGCCGACGUAUAAUUUCGGGUGCAUAGUGAUACUGAGUGGGAGAGGAGACUAAGGAACUGCAUGAGCUACCAGGUGGAGAGGUGCUGGUAGCAAGGAAACCGCAUGUCCACAGUUAUCAGCCAUUGAAUCUGGUGACCCAUGAGGAAUGGACUUGAAACCGCAAGUCCAGCGAGUUGAUGCAAUAUCAGUCCUAAGCGCAUUUACUGGGGAAGGAUUCGGUGUUGACGUAAAUUCAAA